RNAcentral lists this transfer RNA (76 nucleotides) under Acinetobacter baumannii. Its description in RNAcentral is "tRNA-Met". It matches the Rfam family "tRNA". From Rfam's summary of the family: Transfer RNA (tRNA) molecules are approximately 80 nucleotides in length. Lineage: Bacteria; Pseudomonadati; Pseudomonadota; Gammaproteobacteria; Moraxellales; Moraxellaceae. The record is from RNAcentral.
UAGGGCCUAUAGCUCAGUCGGUUAGAGCAGCGGACUCAUAAUCCGUUGGUCCACAGUUCGAGUCUGUGGGCCACAA